This is a ribosomal RNA of Motiliproteus sp. MSK22-1, 85 nucleotides long. It matches the Rfam family "Bacterial large subunit ribosomal RNA", at positions 2841 to 2925 of the family's 2925-position model. The record is from Rfam. Lineage: Bacteria; Pseudomonadati; Pseudomonadota; Gammaproteobacteria; Oceanospirillales; Oceanospirillaceae.
AAGACCAGGACGUUGAUAGGCUGGGUGUGUAAGCGUUGUGAGGCGUUGAGCUAACCAGUACUAAUUGCUCGUGAGGCUUGACCAU